UGAGGGUGAAGCAGGUUAUCGUUUUAAGAAUCGGGUGCUUACCUAGGCACCAGGGGGCCAGGUCGGGUCGGGGGUUCCGGUACUCCCCUCUCAGGCCAGGUCGGGCGGCGUCCCGUACGGCCCCGCUAGCUCCCCCUCCGGGGGUUCUCUAGCUUGUCCCGACCUGCCUGGGACGGCGGCAGGCGGGACGCUGAUGCCGCUUCUCCUCCGGGAGCUCUCGGCUCAGCGGCGCGCUCCCAACGGCGUCGUCGUCGCAUCAUGACGUCACUUCCGGGUCAGCCGGAAACAAGAUGGCGGCGCCCAGCACAAGCGCUGGAGGCCUGGAAGCCCGGCCUCGCGCUCAGGGGUUGACUCCCUCCCCCCGGGGGGGUUGAGUUCCCCUUAUAAGAACGGAGCAGCGCGGCAGCAGAGGUGGAGGUAAGCCCCAGUGGGGAAGUUGUGAGCGGCUGUGUGUUUGCUUAGCCACCAUGGAGCCCCAAGCGUCAGCCAAAUCUGAGAUUGCGUCUGACCCCUCUGCUGCAGCUCAUGUAAGUGUCUUUGUCCUUAUACCCUGGUGUACUCUCCCCAGUCAUUGAGCGCGGUUUCUCGGAUUUUUUCUAGGAUAAAAAGAGUUCUGGGCAGUCGUCUUCUCAGGACCCCAGAAGGAAACCGAGAAAGUGUGCAACUUGUGGGGAAAAGAUGCAUAUAUCUUACAAGAAGCAGCUAUGUGCCGAUUGCAUUGCCAGGUUAAUGAAGGAGGAGCAGCCGUCCUUUCUCACAGAACUUAGGAAUAUCGUUCGUGAAGAAGUACAGGCUACGGUUUCUUCCCUAAACCCUCCGCCACCUCCUUCUCAACCUGACUCCCCUCCCCCAAAAAGAAGGAGGACUCAGGAGGACUCUGAUUCUGAUAAUCAGGAAGUCUCGGACGGAGAGAUUGAAGACGACACCAUCUCUGCUUCCGGCUCUUCAGACCACCCUAAAAGAUUUUUAUUUUCUACUGAGGACUUAGACGCCCUCCUCCAUGCGGUUAGAGAUACCAUGCAAGUAGAGGAAGCUAGCCCUCCCAUAUCCGUUCAGGACGAGAUGUUUGGGGGGUUAGGGGCAAAAAAGACUCGCCUAUUCCCAGUAAACUCCCAUCUGAAGGAGAUAAUUCUGGAGGAAUGGAAGGAGGCCGAAAAGAAGCUAGUUAUGCCUAGGGAAUUUAAAAAUCGGCUGAUUUUUAAUCCUGAGGAUACUAAACUAUGGGACGAAGUUCCCAGGAUAGACAUUCAGGUGGCGAAGGUCACAAAGAAGACCACCAUCCCCUUCGAAGAUUCCUCAAACUUAAAAGACCCUAUGGAUAGGAAGGCGGAGGGGCUACUUAAGAAGGCCUGGGAGUGUUCAUCUGCUCUUAUUAACGCCAACAUUACUGCCACCUCGGUAGCCAGGUCUAUGGGGUUAUGGCUGAAUCAGCUAGAGAACCACCUUAGACUAAAAACCCCAAGGGAAGACAUUCUAGAAUCUAUUCCCCUUCUUAAGAUGGCUACGGCCUACCUGGCGGACUCCUCGGCCGAAUCCAUCAGGAUUUCAGCUAGAAACAGCACCCUGGCGAAUUCGGCUAGAAGGGCCCUUUGGCUAAGAAGUUGGUCAGGGGAUGUAGCGUCAAAGAAUAAACUUUGUUCAAUCCCUUUCUCAGGUUCACAUGUGUUUGGCCCUGUCCUAGAUACAAUCCUUGAGAGUGCCGCGGACAGAAAAAAGGGCUUUCCGGAAGAGAGGUCUAAGAAGACUCAGUCCUUUCGGAGGGAUUCAGGCCAGGGUCAGUCACAGAAUUUUCCAGGUAGAGGGAAAGGCAAAUCGGGCAGGUGGAGCUACCCCAAAGGUGGGAAGGGGAGGGGGUUCCUUCUCAAACCCAACACUUCCUCUUACCAGAGUAAAUGACGCCAGACCUGUGGGGGGGAGACUUCGGUUCUUCAGUCAUCAGUGGCCUUUAGUAACUCAGAACCCCUGGGUACUUCAGACGGUUCGAGAGGGGUACAAGAUAGAGUUCCGUCGUCCUCCCCCUCAGAGAUUCUGUGUUACCACUCCCCAGUCUCCGUCUCUAAAGAACCAGAUGGUUCAGGACUUGGAGAAACUUUGCGCAAUGGAAGCAAUAGUUCCUGUUCCAAGACCCCAACAGGGCAGAGGCCACUACUCCAAACUGUUCUGGGUAAAAAAACCAGACGGUUCACUAAGAACUAUCAUAAACCUGAAGUUCCUGAACAAUUGGAUCCAAUAUUUCAGAUUCAAGAUGGAGUCAAUACGUUCAACGGUUCCACUGAUUCCAGCAGGGGCAUUGAUGUGCACCAUCGAUCUCAAAGAUGCCUACUAUCAUGUCCCCAUUCAUCCAAGCCAUCAUCAGUUCCUCAGGUUCGCGGUGACGUUAGAUGGCAUAGUGCAUCACUUCCAGUUCCAAUGUCUUCCAUUUGGGAUUUCAAGUGCCCCACGCAUCUUUACGAAACUAAUAGUAGAGAUAAUGGCGUUCCUGAGACAACAGGGAAUAACAAUAGUCCCGUACUUAGACGACUUCCUCCUGACAGCAUCCUCAGAGGUCCUUCUGCGGAACCAUCUGCAGACGACGUUACGGGUUCUACAGGACUUAGGCUGGAUUAUCAACCUAGAGAAAUCAGAUCUUUGCAUGAGCGAAAGGAAGAUCUUUCUAGGCACCCUUCUGGACUCCCAGAGACAGAUGUCCUUCCUUCCAGGUUCAAAACGCGACGCUUUCAUAGAAGAAAUAUCCUCCUUCCAAAGGAAAAACCUCUGCUCCAUCAGAGAGGCUAUGCGGAUACUAGGCCUGAUGACAUCCUGUAUACAGAUGGUCCAGUGGGCCCAGAUCCACUCAAGGCCACUUCAGGGUCUAGUCCUCACCAAGUGGGACAAAGACCAGAGGUCUCUAGACAGGAAGAUCAGGAUCCCAAUGUCCAUAAAGGAGUCCUUGAACUGGUGGAUAACUCCCGACAACCUACAGAGAGGGGUUCACUGGUUGAGAAGACCUUGUUUGACGGUGGUGACCGAUGCCAGCAUGACCGGCUGGGGUUCACACAUAGAAGAUCAUCUCUUUCAGGGUUCAUGGUCCCUGGCAGAGAGUCAGCGCUCCUCAAACGUAAGAGAAUUAAUGGCGGUACUAAGGUCUCUCCAAGCAGCAGAACUUCUCUUAAAAGGGAACCACGUUCAAGUUCUGUCAGACAAUAUAACUACAGUCUGCUAUAUAAGGCAUCAAGGGGGAACUCAGAACCCAGGCCUUCAGGAGGUCGCAGAAAAAAUCUUCCUUUGGGCACAGGAAAAUAUCCUAUCUAUCUCAGCCCUCCAUAUCAGAGGGAAGGACAAUGUUACAGCAGACUACCUGAGCAGAAGAAGAUUCCAUCCGGGAGAAUGGAUGCUGAACAGGCAAGUCUUUCACCAGAUCUGCAGGAAAUGGGGGUACCCCCAGGUGGAUCUCCUAGCCUCCAAGGAAAACGCCCAGGCGUCUCAGUUCUUUUCCCUAGAUCCCAGCGGGGAUCCUCUGGGGAUAGAUGCCAUGUCAAAAUCAUGGGACAUGGAUCUAGCUUACGCCUUCCCGCCAAUCCCGCUUAUCCCGGCCACCUUGAGGAAGAUCAGCGAGAGCUCGGGGAAGUUCAUUUUCAUAGGCCCAGCCUGGCCGAAGAGGAGCUGGUAUCCCCUGUUAGACAGGCUAAAGGUAGAAGAACCAAUAUCCCUCCCUCUGCAGCCGGACCUUCUCACUCAGGGGUCCCUUCUCCACCCGGAUCUGGAAAAGUGGAAUCUGAAAGCCUGGAUCCUGAAAGGAGAAUGCUGAGCAGGCAGGGCUUGUCACAUGCUGUAAUCUCCACACUACAAAAAAGUAGGAAACCAGUUACAAAUGCUAUAUAUAGGAAGAUCUGGAACAGAUUUAAUUCCUGGUUGGCUGAUAUACAUCCAUCCAGAUCAACUCCUUCCAUCGCGCAGAUUCUUGACUUCCUACAGAGAGGCUUUGACCUAGGGCUACGCCCUAGCACGAUCAAGGUGCAGAUAUCUGCCUUAUCAUCCUUCCUGGACUACCCACUAGCAGAACAUCGUUGGAUAAAGAGGUUCGUAAAGGCUAUAUCCAGACUAAAACCCACUCUGAGACAGACUGUUCCUCCUUGGGACUUAUCUAUAGUUCUAGAUGCCCUCUGUAAGAUGCCCUUUGAACCCUUGGACACCAUUCCAUUAAAAUUGCUCUCCUGGAAGACGGCCUUCUUGGUAGCCAUCACUUCAGCACGCAGAAUUGGUGAACUUCAGGCCUUAUCCAUGAAGGAACCUUUCUUAAGAGUCUGCCCGGAUCGAAUAAUUCUUCAGUUAGACCCAGCGUUCCUCCCUAAAGUCGUCUCUACUUUCCAUAGGGAACAAGAAAUAUUCUUACCUUCUUUUUACGCCUCUCCUAGAGAUCCGGAAGAGGAGAAAUUCCAUUGCCUGGACGUCCGUCGGGCAGUCCUUGAAUACCUUCGCCGAACAGAUCCUGAUAGGAAGGACUCAAACCUCUUUGUACAAUUUGGUAGAGCAGGAAGAGGGAAGAAAGUGACUAGAAGGACUCUGACACAGUGGAUCAAGUCAACAAUUGUGGAAGCAUAUCGUCUUCAGGAUAGUCCCUGUCCUAUCUCUAUCAGAGCACAUUCUACUAGGGCAGUCGCAGCUUCCUGGGCGGAGAAGGCGAACACCUCUAUAGAUCAGAUUUGUCAGGCAGCCACCUGGACAAGUUAUAACACCUUUUGUAAACAUUACAGGUUGAACCUACCGUCCAAUCGUCAGCUUUCCUUUGGGCGUAAGGUUCUACAGGCUGUGGUCCCUCCCUGAUGGCUAAGUUGGUAACUCUCCCAUGUGCUGUCAUGGAGGACGUCCUGGAAAUCGGUAGUUAGUCUUACCGGUAACGUUCUUUCCAGGAGUCCAACAUGACAGCACUACUAAUUCCCUCCCUAUUAUGUGAUUCAGUGUGAUGUUAACAUUGCUUAUCAUAUUAGUAAUAAAAUUGUGUUGCAUCCAUCCGGUGUAGUAAUUUAGAAGACACUGGAGAUUGGAGGGAUGGGGGGGGCUUUUAAUCUGUUUCACUUCCUGUCCCAACAGUGAUUGGAUUAGACAUCCUCCCAUGUGCUGUCAUGUUGGACUCCUGGAAAGAACGUUACCGGUACGUAUUUACGCUCUUGUUCAGAGCAUGGUGGACUGGGGGUACACGCGUGAUGGAAACGUGAAAGGAGCACCUUAUGAUUGGCGCAAAGCUCCUAACGAGAACUCAGAAUAUUUUGAAGCUUUACAGAAGCUGAUAGAGACUAUGUAUGAAGAAUAUAAGAGCCCAGUGGUGCUCAUUGCUCACAGUAUGGGCAACCUGUACACCCUUUAUUUCCUCAAUCACCAGACGCAGCGCUGGAAGGACCGGUAUAUUCACUCUUUUGUGGCUAUUGGUG
Bufo gargarizans (Asiatic toad) is the source of this 5408-nucleotide RNA transcript. It is a transcript of the gene named phospholipase A2 group XV, with no coding region annotated. The record is from RefSeq and is a predicted model, not a curated record. Lineage: Eukaryota; Metazoa; Chordata; Amphibia; Anura; Bufonidae. The transcript has 3 exons.